UCNUACGGGAGGCAGCAGUGGGGAAUAUUGGACAAUGGGCGCAAGCCUGAUCCAUCCACCCGCGUGUGUGAAGAAGGCCUUCGGGUUGUAAAGCACUUUCAGUGGUGAGGAAGGCCUUGCAGUUAAUAGCUGCAAGGAUUGACGUUAGCCACAGAAGAAGCACCGGCUAACUCCGUGCCAGCAGCCGCGGUAAUACGGAGGGUGCGAGCGUUAAUCGGAAUUACUGGGCGUAAAGCGCAGGUAGGCGGUUUGUUAAGCUAGAUGUGAAAGCCCAGGGCUCAACCUUGGAAUUGCAUUUAGAACUGGCAAGCUAGAGUUUUGAAGAGGGUGGUAGAAUUUCCUGUGUAGCGGUGAAAUGCGUAGAUAUAGGAAGGAAUACCAGUGGCGAAGGCGGCCACCUGGUCAAUAACUGACGCUGAGGAGGGAAAGCGUGGGGAGCAAACAGGAUUAGAUACCCUGGUAGUCCACCCCGUAAACGAUGUCAACUAGUUGUUGGUGUCUUUGAGACGUGAGUAACGCAGCUAACGCAUUAA
Molecule: ribosomal RNA, 533 nt
Filed under: uncultured bacterium
Lineage: Bacteria
Description: bacterial SSU rRNA
Rfam family: Bacterial small subunit ribosomal RNA
Source: RNAcentral